This 572-nucleotide ribosomal RNA is filed under the name uncultured bacterium. RNAcentral describes it as "partial 16S ribosomal RNA". It matches the Rfam family "Bacterial small subunit ribosomal RNA", at positions 355 to 918 of the family's 1533-position model. The record is from RNAcentral.
UGGGGAAUUUUGGACAAUGGGCGAAAGCCUGAUCCAGCCAUGCCGCGUGCAGGAUGAAGGCCUUCGGGUUGUAAACUGCUUUUGUACGGAACGAAAAGCCUCUUUCUAAUAAAGAGAGGUCAUGACGGUACCGUAAGAAUAAGCACCGGCUAACUACGUGCCAGCAGCCGCGGUAAUACGUAGGGUGCAAGCGUUAAUCGGAAUUACUGGGCGUAAAGCGUGCGCAGGCGGUUUUGUAAGACAGAGGUGAAAUCCCCGGGCUCAACCUGGGAACUGCCUUUGUGACUGCAAGGCUGGAGUGCGGCAGAGGGGGGAUGGAAUUCCGCGUGUAGCAGCGAAAUGCGUAGAUAUGCGGAGGAACACCGAUGGCGAAAGGCAAUCCCCUGGGGCUCACUGACGCUCAUGCACGAAAGCGUGGGGAGCAAACAGGAUUAGAUACCCUGGUAGUCCACGCCCUAAACGAUGUCAACUGGUUGUUGGGGUCUUCACUGACUCAGUAACGAAGCUAACGCGUGAAGUUGACCGCCUGGGGAGUACGGCCGCAAGGUUGAAACUCAAAUGAAUUGACGGGG